AUUGAACGCUGGCGGCAGGCCUAACACAUGCAAGUCGAGCGAGCGGCGGACGGGUGAGUAAUGUAUGGGAAACUGCCUGAUGGAGAGGGAUAAAUACUGGAAACGGUAGCUAAUACCGCAUACCAUCAGAUGUGCCAAGAUUGGAUUAGCUAGUAGGUGGGGUAACGGCUCACCUAGGCGACGAUCCCUAUCUAGUCUGAGAGGAUGACCAGCCACAGUGGAACUGAGACACGGUCCAGACUCCUACGGGAGGCAGCAGUGGGGAAUAUUGCACAAUGGGCGCAAGCCUGAUGCAGCCAUGCCGCGUGUGUGAAGAAGGCCUUCGGGUUGUAAAGCACUUUCAGCGGGGAGGCGUUACCCGCAGAAGAAGCACCGGCUAACUCCGUGCCAGCAGCCGCGGUAAUAC
RNAcentral lists this ribosomal RNA (406 nucleotides) under uncultured bacterium. RNAcentral's name for it is "partial 16S ribosomal RNA". It matches the Rfam family "Bacterial small subunit ribosomal RNA", at positions 30 to 526 of the family's 1533-position model. The record is from RNAcentral.